GACGAACGCUGGCGGCGUGCUUAACACAUGCAAGUCGAACGGAAAGGCCCUGCUUUUGUGGGGUGCUCGAGUGGCGAACGGGUGAGUAACACGUGAGUAACCUGCCCUUGACUUUGGGAUAACUUCAGGAAACUGGGGCUAAUACCGGAUAGGAGCUCCUGCUGCAUGGUGGGGGUUGGAAAGUUUCGGCGGUUGGGGAUGGACUCGCGGCUUAUCAGCUUGUUGGUGGGGUAGUGGCUUACCAAGGCUUUGACGGGUAGCCGGCCUGAGAGGGUGACCGGCCACCUUGGGACUGGGAUUCCGCCCCGGCUCCUACGGGGGGCAGGCGUGGGGAAUAUUGCCCCAUGGGCGGAAGCCUGAUGCCGCCACGCCGCGUGGGGGAUGACGGCCUUCGGGUUUGAAACCGCUUUCGCCUGUGACGAAGCGUGAGUGACGGUAAUGGGUAAAGAAGCACCGGCUAACUACGUG
This 468-nucleotide ribosomal RNA is filed under the name uncultured bacterium. RNAcentral describes it as "partial 16S ribosomal RNA". It matches the Rfam family "Bacterial small subunit ribosomal RNA", at positions 28 to 507 of the family's 1533-position model. The record is from RNAcentral.